UCCGGUUUGUCACCGGCAGUCUCCUAUGAGUCCCCGACAUUACUCGCUGGCAACAUAGGACAGGGGUUGCGCUCGUUGAUGGACUUAACCAAACAUCUCACGACACGAGCUGACGACGGCCAUGCAUCACCUGUCACUUGGUUCCAAAGGCACUCUCUCCUUUCGGAGAAAUUCCAAGGAUGUCAAGCCUGGGUAAGGUUCUUCGCUUACCAUCGAAUUAAACAACACGCUCCACCGCUUGUGCGGGUCCCCGUCAAUUCCUUUAUGUUUUAGUCUUGCGACCGUACUCCACAGGCGGGAUGCUUAACGCGUUAGCUUCGCUACUACCAGGGUCGAUACUGAUAACAGCUAGCAUCCAUAGUUUACGGCGUGGACUAC
RNAcentral lists this unclassified non-coding RNA (378 nucleotides) under uncultured bacterium. RNAcentral describes it as "contains 16S-23S intergenic spacer region". The record is from RNAcentral.